GACGAACGCUGGCGGCGUGCUUAACACAUGCAAGUCGAACGGUAAGGCUCCAGCUUGCUGGGGUACACGAGUGGCGAACGGGUGAGUAACACGUGGGUGACCUGCCCUGCACUUCGGGAUAAGCCUGGGAAACUGGGGCUAAUACCGGAUAGGACCAUGGUGUGGAUACUGUGGUGGAAAGUUUUUGCGGUGUGGGAUGGGCCCGCGGCCUAUCAGCUUGUUGGUGGGGUAAUGGCCUACCAAGGCGGCGACGGGUAGCCGGCCUGAGAGGGUGGACGGCCACAUUGGGACUGAGACACGGCCCAGACUCCUACGGGAGGCAGCAGUGGGGAAUAUUGCACAAUGGGCGGAAGCCUGAUGCAGCGACGCCGCGUGGGGGAUGACGGCCUUCGGGUUGUAAACUCCUUUCACCAUCGACGAAGGGUUUCUGACGGUAGAUGGAGAAGAAGCACCGGCUAACUACGUG
This 466-nucleotide ribosomal RNA is filed under the name uncultured bacterium. RNAcentral's name for it is "partial 16S ribosomal RNA". It matches the Rfam family "Bacterial small subunit ribosomal RNA", at positions 28 to 507 of the family's 1533-position model. The record is from RNAcentral.